GUGAGUCAUCGAAUCUUUGAACGCACAUUGCGCCCCCUGGCAUUCCGGGGGGCACACCUGUUCGAGCGCCAUUUCGACCCUCAAGCACGGCUUGGUGUUGGGCGCGGUCCGUACGUGACCUGCCCGUAACGCGUCGGCGGCCGCCGCCCGCGCCCCCAGCGUAGCAAGCUCACGCGUUCGCUCGGGGACGGUGCGCGCCCGGCCGCCCACAAACACUUUCAAGGUUUGGCCUCGGAUCAGGUGGGGAUACCCGCUGAACUUAAGCAUAUCAAUAAGCGGAGGA
Molecule: unclassified non-coding RNA, 283 nt
Filed under: Venturiales sp.
Lineage: Eukaryota; Fungi; Ascomycota; Dothideomycetes; Venturiales
Description: partial contains 5.8S ribosomal RNA, internal transcribed spacer 2, and large subunit ribosomal RNA
Rfam family: 5.8S ribosomal RNA (bases 1-71)
Source: RNAcentral